RNAcentral lists this ribosomal RNA (471 nucleotides) under uncultured bacterium. Its description in RNAcentral is "bacterial SSU rRNA". It matches the Rfam family "Bacterial small subunit ribosomal RNA", at positions 30 to 496 of the family's 1533-position model. The record is from RNAcentral.
AUUGAACGCUGGCGGCAUGCCUUACACAUGCAAGUCGAACGGUAACAGGUCUUCGGAUGCUGACGAGUGGCGAACGGGUGAGUAAUACAUCGGAACGUGCCCGAUCGUGGGGGAUAACGCAGCGAAAGCUGUGCUAAUACCGCAUACGAUCUACGGAUGAAAGCGGGGGAUCGCAAGACCUCGCGCGGACGGAGCGGCCGAUGGCAGAUUAGGUAGUUGGUGGGAUAAAAGCUUACCAAGCCGACGAUCUGUAGCUGGUCUGAGAGGACGACCAGCCACACUGGGACUGAGACACGGCCCAGACUCCUACGGGAGGCAGCAGUGGGGAAUUUUGGACAAUGGGGGAAACCCUGAUCCAGCCAUGCCGCGUGCAGGAUGAAGGCCUUCGGGUUGUAAACUGCUUUUGUACGGAACGAAAAGGUCCUUUCUAAUAAAGAGGGCUCAUGACGGUACCGUAAGAAUAAGCACCGG